AGCCAUUAGCCUAAACAAGUAUUAAAGGUAACGCCUGCCCAGUGAGAAACUUUUUCUUAAACGGCCGCGAGACAACCGUGCGAAGGUAGCGAAAUCACUUGUCUCCUAAAUAGAGACCAGUAUGAAAGGCCUCAUGAGAAAGAAACUGUCUCUUAAGGGUAGCCAAUGAAACUGAUCUGCCUGUGCAAAAGCAGGCAUAACAUAACAAGACAAAAAGACCCUGUGAAACUUUAAAUAAAACGCCAACCACAUGGUGAUUCUUUUAGGUUGGGGCAACCAAAGAGAAACAAAACCUCUUCUAUACAUCUAGACCAACAAGUCCAACUAAAUACUAGACGACCCAGUAAAACUGAUCAAUGAACCAAGCUACUCCAGGGAUAACAGCGCCAAAUUCUUAAAGAGUCCACAUCAACAAGAAUUCUUACGACCUCGAUGUUGGAUCAGGUUACCCAAACAGUGCAAAAGCUGCUAAUGGUUCGUUUGUUCAACGAUUAAAAUCCU
This 501-nucleotide ribosomal RNA is filed under the name Agama sankaranica. RNAcentral's name for it is "partial 16S ribosomal RNA". It matches the Rfam family "Bacterial large subunit ribosomal RNA", at positions 1816 to 2597 of the family's 2925-position model. Lineage: Eukaryota; Metazoa; Chordata; Lepidosauria; Squamata; Agamidae. The record is from RNAcentral.